Long non-coding RNA from Melospiza melodia melodia, 3018 nucleotides. RefSeq lists it as uncharacterized. The record is from RefSeq and is a predicted model, not a curated record. The transcript has 3 exons. Lineage: Eukaryota; Metazoa; Chordata; Aves; Passeriformes; Passerellidae.
CCGUGGCUGCCGGGAGCGGGAAGAGCGGGUGGCACUGUCAUUAUCUGUGCGGAGAAAGGGCGCAGCGGUGUUUGCACAGCGCGGACGGAAGCGCUGGUGGCAGCCUGAGGCACAGGGUGUGCAGCAAUGACAAGGCAAAGCAUUUCUGGAUUCACUUGAAGACUGACACAUGGACAUGUUUCCACUGAAGUUGCUACAGGUGAUAGGAACUUUCUUCUGAAGACUGACAAAAUGACUGGAGCAUAGUGAGUUAUUAUUACAACCACUUAUUUAAAAAAAAUAAAAGACAAAAGAACGUGCUGCAAGAUAACAAAUAAUACAGCCCAACUUGUGCAAUGCAGUAACUUCUUAAUGCUACAAAAAAAACCAGGGAUGAUCACAGUCCUGAACACACACUCACAAAACCAUUCCAGAUUGCAACUGUGAGCACCCAUAGUCAGUUCAACAGGAAAAAGUAAGAUAUAGUCUUUUAAGGACACGACUUUGAUAACUCUCUAGUUUGAAGCCGGGGAUGAGUGAUAGGUUGGACAUUCCCACUGGAGAAAUAGGCUAGUUACAUUGGAAUGGGUUACCCUUUGCUAUUCAACAUCUCAGCUCCCUAGUUACCAGCUCCAAACUAAGGUGUUUGCCUCAGCACAUGGUUGUUUACACAGUGGCUUAUCUUACCUUGGUGAGAUAUUUGAUACCAAUAAAACAUCCGUCACACUCUGUCCUACUGCUUUCCUUUAACUCAGGGCAAGGCCCAUCCCUCUUCCAAAACCUUUGACAGCUUUGAAAUAUGCAGUGUUGCCAUUGGUGUAGCUCAGGGGCUGUGCAGUGGUUGCUUUCUCCGGAGGCUCUGCAACACCUCAGUACUUCCCCCCCUUUGAACAGAGGUGGCAAAAUCCAUAAUUUGUUUCCAUUCUGCUUGGCUGAAAAUGAGGAAAAGUUCGGCACCCUGUCAUGGAGAUAGUUAAGUGAAGAGUCAAUACAAUGAAGGCCUCUGCACCAGGAGUAGCCCAUAAUAGGUGGUGGCAAUGUCACAACUCAGCUUGUUUUAAAAUACAGCACUUUUUUCCCUCUUGUUUCGUGUGUGGUUUUUUUCCCUCUGGGUGGAGCAGAGCUGGGAAGGUGAUGACUUACCUGCUACAGCUUGGUAGAUCGCAAUCUGGAACUGGCAGAGUGUUAACACAAUGCCCCAGCAGAGCUUUUCUGUCUCUAAUUUCAAUGAUUAUGUUGUUACUGGAUCAGUGAAGAGAACCAUGAAAAACACAAUUACCAGGAAGCCCUGUUCCUCAGCUCGCCUCUUUGUCUCACUGCGAGUGGGGCAUGUGACUCACGGAGCAGCAGAGGACCGGCUGUAAUCUCAAGCACUGCCGAGAAGGGUGCUGUCCUCCCAUGGGACCCAGGCGUGGGAAAGCCUGACUGCCAGCUGGAAGGGCCAGUCACGUCAUGUUUUGCAGCUGGCAUCCAAAUGCAUCCUGAUGAAUCAAGUGAGAGCAGCUACCUUCUCCUGCCACAACCGUGGCCGAGCAGCCGUGCAGAAGAGGGGCUGUAAAAACCUUCCCGCGUGCAAAAGCACAGGGAAGGGAUGGUGUUGUGAAUGAGCUUACUGUGACAGCACAGAACUGUUUUAUAGGUCACUGGCAGAGCAUCAGACCACAGGGAGAGGGGAUGAGUAUCAGCUGUGAGUGCUGGUCUCAGGUUUGCUCAGUGCAGGGCCAUUCCUUGUAGGCCUGACCCGACCCUGUUACGUGAUGCGUAGUGGGCAAAAAGAAAUUCACUUGCUCUCUGCACUCCAAAUCAUGUAUAAACCUAUGACCUCAACAACAAAUACCAGUAGCAGCAAAGCAGCCAAUAUUUUUAUCAUUAAUUGCUAUCAAAAAUGUCAGCUCAAAGUCAUCAGAUUUGAUAGGCGAGCAUGCUCCAAACUGACGGCUGAAGUGAAUUAUUUGCCUAUUGCGUGAUGCAAAAACAAUGUCUUGCAGGAGAGAACAGACAUUGGCAAACAAACUGACAGCAAGAUAUACAUCUGGGGAAGGCUUCUGAUUUGAUCUGGAAGGAAACAUUGAGUAUACAUACAGAGAAAGUUUACCUGCGUGAAAGGUGGGGUUGAGCCAUGGCUUGGACUUCCUUACUCUGCUGGAGAACAGUGUGAAACAUACCUGCUAUUUUACUCCCUUUGAGCUGUUCUCAUUACAAAAAGGUACCAGACACUUCAGGAAGUUUUUAAAGUAAUAAAGUGUUUCUCCCCCCAUCCCUGAUGCAUCCAUUUAUCAGUGACUAAUGAGCACAUAAAUUCCAGCGUGUGAAGAAAAAUCCCUCAUCUUGGUGUUAAGCAGAACUUUCCCUGCCCAUGGAUCUGCAGCACAAAUGUUUCUGGUCUUUCUGUGCUGAGGGUCUAAACAUGGGCAGACAGUACAUAGUGCAGCACUGGCAUACUAAUAAUGUAACUGCUAGGUACUACAAAUUGAAUCAGGACCUGUUUAAAUACUGGUAUAACCAUGAACAUCAUCCAGGACAUGUUUCUGGACUGUCUUUAUUUCACCCAGUGGAAAAAACCCCAUAUGGAACAGGAUUUCAGUGAAGGGAAAGUUAGCUAUGCCUGCCAGGAAUCUCUUUUGCCCCCAAAAAUUCAGACAUCACGGGACAUAAGCAGAAAAUGAAAGAGAACCAGCGAGGGGAAAACCAAACAGGCUGGGGUCUUCUUGCCACUUCUUUUGAAGUCCCCAGUGUAACUCCUGGCAUCUUCAGCGGGGUUUGGCUGAGCUCUGUGCAGAAGCGCCUUUGAAGAAUUUGCUAAGGCUCAAGGCCUUGAUCAUGGCAACUUUUAUGCCUGUGAGCAACUCUGUGCAGAUGAACACUUCCAGGGUGCUCAGCAGGAUGCUUUGGAUGAGACUUUGCAGGGCUAGUCUUAAGCAAUGAGAGCUUAAGAGAAAUAUUCUGGUUGUCGUGCUUUUAUCCUUGACCACAUCAAAUGAAAUGCCUUGGCAGUUCUGGAAGAAUGAAUUUGCAUUGAAAACCCACAGCUCUUACAAG